This 253-nucleotide ribosomal RNA is filed under the name uncultured bacterium. RNAcentral's name for it is "partial 16S ribosomal RNA". It matches the Rfam family "Bacterial small subunit ribosomal RNA", at positions 524 to 776 of the family's 1533-position model. RNAcentral also lists the same sequence under 1 other name. The record is from RNAcentral.
UACGGAGGGUGCGAGCGUUAAUCGGAAUAACUGGGCGUAAAGGGCACGCAGGCGGUUAUUUAAGUGAGGUGUGAAAGCCCCGGGCUUAACCUGGGAAUUGCAUUUCAGACUGGGUAACUAGAGUACUUUAGGGAGGGGUAGAAUUCCACGUGUAGCGGUGAAAUGCGUAGAGAUGUGGAGGAAUACCGAAGGCGAAGGCAGCCCCUUGGGAAUGUACUGACGCUCAUGUGCGAAAGCGUGGGGAGCAAACAGG